UACGAAGGGGGCUAGCGUUGCUCGGAAUUACUGGGCGUAAAGGGCGCGUAGGCGGCACUGUUAGUCAGGCGUGAAAGUCCUGGGCUCAACCUGGGAACUGCGCUUGAUACGGCAGAGCUAGAGGAUGGAAGAGGGAAGCGGAAUUUCCGGUGUAGCGGUGAAAUGCGUAGAUAUCGGAAGGAACACCAGUGGCGAAAGCGGCUUCCUGGUCCAGCACCGACGUUCAGGCACGAAAGCGUGGGGAGCAAACAGG
RNAcentral lists this ribosomal RNA (253 nucleotides) under uncultured bacterium. RNAcentral's name for it is "partial 16S ribosomal RNA". It matches the Rfam family "Bacterial small subunit ribosomal RNA", at positions 524 to 776 of the family's 1533-position model. The record is from RNAcentral.